GAUGAAUGCUGGCGGCGUGCCUAACACAUGCAAGUCGAGCGGCAGCGCAGGUAGUUUACUACCUGGCGGCGAGCGGCGGACGGCUGAGUAACGCGUGGGAACAUGCCCCAAAGUGAGGGAUAAACUCCAGAAAUGGAGUCUAAUACCGCAUAUGAUCUUCGGAUUAAAGGAUUUAUCCGCUCUGGGAGUGGCCUGCGUACGAUUAGAUUGUUGGUGAGGUAAUGGCUCACCAAGUCGACGAUCGUUAACUGGUCUGAGAGGAUGAUCAGUCAGGCUGGAGCUGGGACACGGUCCAGACGCCUACGGGAGGGAGCAGUGGGGAAUGUUCCGCAAUGGACGAAAGUCUGACGGAGCAACGCCGCGUGAGUGAUGAAGGCUUUCGGGUCGUAAAACUCUGUUGUUAGGGAAGAACAAGUGCUAGUUGAAUAAGCUGGCACCUUGACGGUACCUAACCAGAAAGCCACGGCUAACUACGUGCCAGCAGCCGCCGUAA
This 493-nucleotide ribosomal RNA is filed under the name uncultured bacterium. Its description in RNAcentral is "partial 16S ribosomal RNA". It matches the Rfam family "Bacterial small subunit ribosomal RNA", at positions 28 to 523 of the family's 1533-position model. The record is from RNAcentral.